Molecule: ribosomal RNA, 253 nt
Filed under: uncultured bacterium
Lineage: Bacteria
Description: partial 16S ribosomal RNA
Rfam family: Bacterial small subunit ribosomal RNA
Source: RNAcentral
UACGUAGGGUGCAAGCGUUAAUCGGAAUUACUGGGCGUAAAGCGUGCGCAGGCGGUUUUGUAAGUCUGUCGUGAAAUCCCCGGGCUCAACCUGGGAAUUGCGAUGGAGACUGCAAGGCUAGAAUCUGGCAGAGGGGGGUAGAAUUCCACGUGUAGCAGUGAAAUGCGUAGAGAUGUGGAGGAACACCGAUGGCGAAGGCAGCCCCCCGGGCUGAGAUUGACGCUCAGGCACGAAAGCGUGGGGAGCAAACAGG